UAGGGUGUAGCUCUAUGGUAGAGCCCAUGCUUGGCACGCAGGAGACCCUGGGUUCAAUUCCCAGCACCUAAG
Non-coding RNA from Ictidomys tridecemlineatus (thirteen-lined ground squirrel), 72 nucleotides. The record is from Rfam. NCBI's taxonomy places the organism in Eukaryota, Metazoa, Chordata, Mammalia, Rodentia, Sciuridae.